UUUUCUGUCCUGGGACACUCGGCUAACCAUCAAGAAAGAACACACUCCAGUGGGCAUCCUUUAUCCAUCCAGACCCUCAUACAGAUGGUUGGAGUUUUGAUUCACCUAAAGUACCAUGCAAGAGCACUCAUUUUCCCUCUUGAGACCAUGGUGUGACCUGCAAGGUCGAAUGGAGACUGUAAACAAGACAAUCUUGGAGUCACCUGCAUUCACUGGUCCAGUUGUUAGUCCAAUUACAGAUGGAGAUUAUAGAAGAGGAUGAUGUCUUUUCUCCAACAUCUUUCUAGACUGAUAAAAGAUCUAGACAGGCUUGAACAAAAGUUAACAGAGGGGCUUAUAUAGAGAAUGGUGAGCAGCUACACAUAAAAGAAGAACAUGGAGAAUCUGCCCAGAGGUGUUAACCAGCAAUGCAGCUAUACAACUAAAUUGAUGCAGGCGGAAACAAUGUGUGUAUGUUAUGUCCAAAUGUUGUUAUGUUC
Paramisgurnus dabryanus is the source of this 479-nucleotide long non-coding RNA. RefSeq lists it as uncharacterized. Lineage: Eukaryota; Metazoa; Chordata; Actinopteri; Cypriniformes; Cobitidae. The record is from RefSeq and is a predicted model, not a curated record.